AUGAGGGCGCCCAUUCAGCUCCUGGGGCUCCUGCUGCUCUGGCUCCCAGGUGUCACAUGUGACAUCCAGAUGACACAGUCUCCAGAAUCCCUGUCUGCAUCUGUAGGAGACUCAGUCGCCAUCGCUUGCCAGGCCAGUCAGAGCAUUGGCAGUUCAUUAAGCUGGUAUCAGCAGAAACCAGGAAAAGCUCCUAAGCUUCUAAUCUAUGCAGCAUCAAGUUUGUACACUGGGGUCUCCUCGAGGUUCAGUGGCAGUAGAUCUGGGACAGAAUUCACUCUCACUAUCAGCAGCCUGGAGGCUGAAGAUAUUGCAACUUACUAUUGUCAACAAAGCCACAGCGCACCUGCCACUGAAGGUGUCGGCUCCUCAGUCCUGUCUGGGGAGCCCAGGCAUGGGGGUGCUGAUGCUCUCAACUGCCUGCAGAACCUCACCACGUGA
This is a non-coding RNA of Galeopterus variegatus (Sunda flying lemur), 438 nucleotides long. The record is from the annotation of a RefSeq genome assembly. Lineage: Eukaryota; Metazoa; Chordata; Mammalia; Dermoptera; Cynocephalidae.